Molecule: long non-coding RNA, 199 nt
Filed under: Gossypium raimondii (Peruvian cotton)
Lineage: Eukaryota; Viridiplantae; Streptophyta; Magnoliopsida; Malvales; Malvaceae
Description: long non-coding RNA (GRAI_LNC009547)
Source: RNAcentral
GGUCGAGAAGGCUAAAAGGAGGAUUUUUUCCCUUUUUUCGGCCACCGCAGACGGUGGUGCCGGCACCGGAGACCGGCGGCCGGCACGGUGGCCGGUGAUCAUCCGAUGACCGACCGAUGGUCGGAGGACUGAAGGGCUGAGAGGUUUUUUUUUGAAAGAUUUGGUUUUUUUUUUAAAAUGGGUUUUGAAAUGAAAUUUG